GGGAUCCAAAACUUCAAGGUCUGAAGCUGAAACUGAACAAUUGUGUUGGAUUUGUUUGUCCUACUUAUUAUCUAUCAAGUAUUUAAGUUUAUACUUAUGCCACAUGUACCUAGGUGCAUAUUAUCUACUGCAAAGAUGUCAUUCAAUGGUUCUUAAGUUAGAUUGUGGUAAUAGACAAGCAGUGAUGCUAUAAACAUCAAAUCAAACGACCAUUUCAGCUUCUUGAACACUAGAAGGUAUCCCAACCUCCAGUCUCAUAGUAGCCCUAUACUGUUCAGGCACUCCAGCACCAGCCUGCGCACAUAUCUCCACAACAGCAGGUGCUUGCCCGUAGAAGCUUCUCAGCUCCCUCUGCAUCGGCGGCCCAUUCACAUCAGGAACAUGCCAAACGUAUCUCGGCGGUAUCAAGUCAUCAAGCACCGCAGACUGCCAACCGUGCUGACCAUUCCUCUGCUGGUGCUUGAACGCGCCGCAGUUCUGCGCCUUGUGCCCCGUCGGACCAACGUGGACCUCGGGGCAGUACCCGCAGACUCUGACCCUGUACAUCCUCAUCAGCUUCUUGGCUCCCGCUCUCAUCUCUUCCCACGCUUGUAGAGUCUCUUCCGCUAGGGAGACUGUUUCUUCUUCGUUGGAAGGUGGAGUGAUCUCUGAGGGAGGUAGCUCGGUUAACAACGGCUCUGGAGGAAAGUGAGGCUCUGGAUCAGGCAGUUCGGUUUCAUCUGCGUCUACGAACUCGCUUUUGCCGAUGCGGAUUAUCGGUUUUCUUCUCCUUUUCGUUGGAAACUCAGGGAUCUCAACGCCUCCUUGGAUGCAGAGCUCGACUACGGCGGGGACUCGAGGGAUGGUGAAUCUCUCAUCGUGACGGAUGCGCUUGCCGAGACGGUCGUAGAGGUGGUAAGCUUCAAGAGGGACAAUGACGUCUUCGAGGACAGAGUUUGUCCAUUCAUGAUGACCUUUCCUUUGAGAAGCACUAGGACCUUUACACGACUUAAACGGAUGACCGUAAGGUCCAACGUGGAUCUCAUUACACCACCUAAGAGACAAAACAAGAACAACACAUAACCAAACAUAACAAGAAGAGGAAGAAGAAGAAGAAGAAGAGGAGUUAUUAAUUUAUUAUUACCCACAAGCGUUAACACGAACUACUUUCAUGAGGCGGUGGAGAUUGUUGAUCAGUCUGAUUCUCGCGUUGUACACUUUGUAAGCAAGAGGGACGAGAAGAGACAUGAGCCUGAUAAGAAUAGUUAUAGGAACAGAACAGAAGUGAACUUGCUAAAAGAAGAAGAAGGAGAAGACAGUUACUUACUUAAAAAGCUAAUCCAUGGCUUUAGACUGAUUUCAAACGUGACGAUGAUGAUGAGGGAUAACGCUUUGCAGUUUGAGGAAAAAAGUAAGAAGAAGAAGAAGAAGACACGAAAGUGGGUGUGAAUGUGAAAGCGAGCAGACCAGACAAGUGGUAUCUUGCCUUUACCAAAGAUAAAUAAAACUAAAGCAAUGAAGAAGAAAGGGAAUCUGGUAAAUGACGUUUUUACCCUUGAUUAUUUCAAAAAGUAGAUUUGUUCUUUUUAAAAAGUCUCAAAAGUGAUGUUUCAAACACAAGAUGAGACACCGUCACUAGUCAACUGGUUGGAACUUAAAAUAAUGUGAUUUUCAAUUAAAUAAUUAUACUAUGAAAAAAGGACAAACAUGUUCAAGGGAUCCAAAACUUCAAGGUCUGAAGCUGAAACUGAACAAUUGUGUUGGAUUUGUUUGUCCUACUUAUUAUCUAUCAAGUAUUUAAGUUUAUACUUAUGCCACAUGUACCUAGGUGCAUAUUAUCUACUGCAAAGAUGUCAUUCAAUGGUUCUUAAGUUAGAUUGUGGUAAUAGACAAGCAGUGAUGCUAUAAACAUCAAAUCAAACGACCAUUUCAGCUUCUUGAACACUAGAAGGUAUCCCAACCUCCAGUCUCAUAGUAGCCCUAUACUGUUCAGGCACUCCAGCACCAGCCUGCGCACAUAUCUCCACAACAGCAGGUGCUUGCCCGUAGAAGCUUCUCAGCUCCCUCUGCAUCGGCGGCCCAUUCACAUCAGGAACAUGCCAAACGUAUCUCGGCGGUAUCAAGUCAUCAAGCACCGCAGACUGCCAACCGUGCUGACCAUUCCUCUGCUGGUGCUUGAACG
Molecule: long non-coding RNA, 2161 nt
Filed under: Brassica napus (rape)
Lineage: Eukaryota; Viridiplantae; Streptophyta; Magnoliopsida; Brassicales; Brassicaceae
Description: long non-coding RNA (BNAP_LNC001195)
Source: RNAcentral